UUUUUUUUUUUUUUUUUUUUUUUUUUGUGUAUGUGAAGAUUUCCAUACCCAGUUGUGAAGCAUGGUCCAAUUUUAGAAUGCACUCAAUCACAUCCAAAAGGGCAAAAAAAAAAAAAAAAAAAAAGAAAAAAUUAUGUGGUCAUGGCCUGAUUAAAUAAGUGGUCUUUUUUGGGCCAACGAGAACUGUCCACAAGGGAGUGCGGCUAUCUCAUGUCCGAUGGGCUAAUUAAUGUGACCCACCUUAGAUGCCCAAAUCUUGUUUGGACCUGAUAGUGGAACAAGAUUAAUGAAAUGUCUCUUCUAAACGAAUUUUAAUUCACUUAAUCACAAAUUGGAUCUUACUUUGUUUGCUUUGAGCUUAAGUUUAAUUUUUAGGGUUAUUAUCACUUUACCCCCUUAAACUAUAUUACUACUAUCAGUUUACCCUUUAAUGUUAUCUUUUAGUCACUUCACCCCAUAAGUAAUUCAACUCAACAUAUUAAGAAAUUUUGGACAAAAAUAACCUUUUAUUCUAUAGCAUUACUACAUUGUUAUUAUCACUUUAUCCCUUUAAAUUAUAAUAAUACAAUCACUUUAAUCCCUAACAUCAUUUUCUAGGUAUUUUACCUCAUCGUUAAUCUAACUAGUAUGGUAAAAAUUUUUUAAAUGUAUUUACCUUUUUUUUAUAUAUAAAAUUAAAAAUAAAAAGUUGGAAUGGUUAUUCUUCCUUUUUUUCACUUUAAGAGAUUAAAAAAUAUAAAAAUAAAAGGAUUUUCUCAAAUUUCUUUUUUCACACUUAUUAAUACUAUGAAAAGAAAAAGAGAUAGGAAAGAAGGAGACACAAAAUUAGAUUUUGCAAAGAAAGAAAAUAAAGAAGAGCCUAACAUUGUCGUAUUACUUUAAAGUUGUUGGAUUAGAAUUGGAAUUGGGCAGUAAACAGAAAAGUAAAAUAAUUUUAAAAUAAUAAAAAUAUUAAUUCUUUCUUAUUUGUAAUUUUUUAAAAAAGAAUUGAGCUCUCUCUCAAUCUCACUCUCUCCCCUCCUCCUCCCCCUCCCCAUCUUUCUAUUUGUUUUAAUAUUAAUAAGAUUGUCAAGAAAAAGAGAUUAAUAUUUUGACUUUUUUUCUUGAUACUAAAAAGGAGAAGAACUGCUCUAAAUUUUUUAUUAUUUUUAUUAUAUAAAGAGGAGGUACUUUCUUCUAAAGUUUUUUAACUUGCUAAGUUGAUUUAACGGUGAGAUAAAUUGCUUAAAAAAUAACUCAAUGGAGUAAAUUGAUAAUGAGCCUAUAGUUUAAGGGGUAAAGUGAUAAUAAUUCUAAGGGUUAAACAUGUCUUUUCACUUUAAUUAACAAACUCCGUUAAGUUUAACCGUUAAUUUUGGGAUAAAAUGAUUAAAAUGUAACGUUAAGGGAGAAAUUGAUAAUAGAACUGAACGCUAGGGAGUAAAGGGAUGAUAACCUAAUUUUUAUACCAAAUAAGUAUUUAUGAUUUUUUAAUUAUGCCUAUUUAUGUCUAAUUAAGUUUUGGUGUCUCCAUCAAGUUUUUUUCUUUUUUUUUUUGAAGAAUAAUAGGAAGUUAAAUGUACUAUUAUGAUCUUAAAGAAUGUUUACAUAUCAAAAUUUGAAUAAUCUAAUUCGAGACGCAUACGAUUAAUCAAAAAGGGUUGCAUAUAAAAAUCAGUUUCUUUUACUGGGCUAGAUUAGCACAAACCAAACAAUACCAGUUUUUCUUCUGCUUCUCAGCUGGGAGUUCCUAUACAUGAAUUAGACUAGAGCUAGUUGCACUCAACUACUUGCUCUUUCUAGAUGAUAUUAGUUAAGCUGAUAGAAAAGAAAGAGGAAAAUAUGUAACAAUAAAUGCCAAAAAGGCAAAAAAAAAAAAACCAACUAGAAUGUACUAAUUAAGGAAUAAUUAGUAUUUGUAUUAGUGUGUGAGUUGAGUAAAAAUCUCAGGAGUUAGAAUGUGUUAAGUUAGUGAAAUGCCUAAGACUAGCAUAUAAUGAGAUAUUGGCACCAUUAAUUUCUCUGUUCUUUUUUCCUUGGAUGAGCUUGAAUUUUGAUUUGUUUGGAAACUUGUAGUUUGGGGAGCACUUAUGAGGUUGAAAUUUGGAAAAUCAUAUGGUCCCAAAAAUGUGUCCGCCCUUCAACUCAAAAGCUACCAGUAAAAAAUUGCAGUGUGCAGGAAUGGUAGAUAGACACAUGGUUGACUUCAGCUUCUGACUCAUUCUAAUGGUUUAGUUGAGUUCGAUUCUCCAAAAGGGCGACAGUUUUACUUAGGGAGGAAAGGAAAGACUACCAAUUUAGAACAAACAAUUCUUUUGGCAUAAUCAACAAUUUAGAGGACAGAGAAAAGUAAAUAAGUGUACCACAUUUAUGCAAAUUUUGUCACCUUUCCAAAACAAAUGGAUUAAUCAAUCUGCUAAUCUUAACUGACAGUUGUUGACAAACAACAUAUUUUGGAGUUGAUAGUUGUGGAUUGGAUCAGGCAGGCUAGUUGGUGGCCAUUGUGUCUUCCAUAUUUAGUGAAAAAAAAAACUGUUCUUGAUUUUCUUAGGUUGGUGGGAUUUAAUUCUAAUAUGCGUAUCAGAUUAGACAGUUUGCAGGAGAUUCAUAUCUGUAACACUUUUUAGGAAGACGUGACCAAAUCUCCAGCAGGGUACGUUUUUGCCUCCCAUGCAAACCUAUCCUUCAAGGAUUAAUAUUAACUUCACUUCUUUUGGUUGAUAAGCAUCUUCUAAAGUAGUAUUACGAUUCUGUUAAAAGACUAAUCACCUUUUAUAUACGCACGUAUAUACAUACAUACAUAAAUAUGUAUUUAUAUAUAUAUAUAUAUGUUUGUCAUUUACAGCUUAAGUGAGUGUGACAGUUGAUUUUGUUAGGCCCUCUUGACUUAUUAUAUAUGGACACACAAUCACAUACACAAGUAUACAUAUUUGCAAUAUAACAAGAAAAAUUGAGGUCAGGAGGCUUCAUGUUUAAUUAGUAGUUUAGACAUAUGGCCUAGGCAUGUGUGAACCAAAUGGUCACAAGAGAUUGAGGUUUAAGUAAUUGCCCAUGACCUAACAUGUUAGUUGAAACAAACUAAACGAUUCUGCUUCUUCAAUAAUCCAAUGUAAAACUUGAUGAAGAAUUUUAUGAUGGCAUUCAUGAGGCCAUGAUGUUGUGUGCUUUAAUUCAUGAGGUCAGUUGAGAAUUUUGAUGUAAAAAACUCAGUAGCUGUCCUUGACUUUUCUUCUACCAUUAUAUUUAUGUUUUGGUAUGGCGAGUAUUUUAUAGUUUAUACUACUAUUUGGGUAUAGUAGCAACAACUAAUUAACGUAUACCAUCUAAUAAGAAGAGGAUUAAUAGAAUUGGUCGUAUUGAAUCUAAAGUAAUCAAGAAAGUUUAGAUGGAAACUUAAACUCAUUAGUUUGCCACUUCACAUAAUGCUUAUGAUCUAACCAUUAUCUGGAAUGCAAUGGUAUCCGAUAUGCAUGCUACAUUAUCUCAAUUCGAAUUUAAAUCAAAUUAUAUAUAUAUAACAUGCAUCUGAAUCUGUUGAUAUAUAUACUGACAGUGCAUAAAACGUUUACUUUUGAAAUUUUCCAUCAAAGUUGCUCAAGGGAAAUGAUAUCAAUGGUAAUUAACCAAGCACUAUUGCAUUCAUGUAUUAGAAACGGGACAAUGAAAGCAAGAAAUCAUCAAGUGGUGUAUACAGAUUGCAGACUCACCUGGAAACAUGAUCAUUGAGGCAUGUACAGCUACUGAUCCCUGCGUCCAGCUCUCUUGCCAAUGGCAUCAUCACCUUUAACACGAUCAAAUGGUUAAUGGGCUUGGCUGCUGACAAUAUUUUCGAGUCUAGAAUCCAAACUUGGAGCUUCAGAAAAUUUUUCCACCACCGGAAGCAGCUACGUUUGUCCCUGAACAAGAAAUAUAUGGUGGGCUUAUACCUAAAAAGUUUGAAGAUUUGUCUAACUACCCAUAAAAGCACGGAACAUUUAUAUGUAGCAGGAGUAUAUAUAUCUACUUCCAAUUGCAUUGCAUGAUUUUUUGUUUUGGCUUUUGAUUGACCGGUAGUUUCCCAGUAUCUUUACCGGAUUGCUGUUGAAGAAAUUAGUAUGGCAAAGGUGGACUAACCGAACGUUCUAACCCACAAGGCUACCGAUCCAUACGACAAAUAAGUUACCAACCUGUCUUUGAUGUACAUAUGCAUGCCCUAUCAGAACAGGUCUUCCAAUUAGUUUCAAAGCAUUAACUCUUGUGGAGAAUUGAUGGUGGAAAUUGUAGUCUAUCUCUGUUCAAUAUCUACACUUCUAGUUUGUUAAAAAAAAAAAAAUCUAGACUUCUAAAUCUUCUAUUUUGUGACUAUACAAAGAUAGAGGAGUAAACAAAUCUAACCAAGUCAAAUAUCCUAGUAUUUAAACUUAUUUGAUUAUUUUAACAAGACUAAAAUUUUGUUAAGUUUUACUUGUUUAGUUGUUGAAUCGAAUUUGAACGAGUUUUUUUUUUUCAAAUUUGAAAGUUAUCGAACCAAAAAAAAAUGUUCAAUGUUGGCUUGACUAGUCAGCGAACCAAAUUCAAAUAAACUCUUAUUAAUUCGAACUCGAUUCGAAUACGGAAUAGUUUGGUUUACCUUUCCGUGGUGCAAAAAUGUAUGAACGACAUUCGACGCGUUCAACAAGCUACAUCGGUAUAUUUGUGGUACUAAACAGUACCAGGAAUAUACGUAUGGUACCCAACAAAACUACAUCCGAUACUCAUUACUUCUAGUGGAUGAAAAUUUCCCUUCAAGCAUUGAGAAUUUUCCUUGGGUUUUUAUAAGUCGCUGAUAAUGAUAUACAUUGAAUACGAAAAACGUUCAUAUCAUGCUUCUUAGUCAUUGUCUUUAGUAUUCUAAACAACGAGCUCAUUUUUUUUUCCUUUUUUGUCUGGGAGGAAAGGGGAGGGGGCGCAAAUUCAAUUAAAGAGUUAUAAAAACAAGAGUAUUUUAGCUGUAAAAAGAAAUUGACAGAUUCCAUAUCUUAAGGUUUUAAUUCCACCCCAUCGACAUACGUUUAUUUGUCAAGAAGCCCAAAUGAAUAUCAAGUUGUGAAUGAAAUAUUCAUGUGUGCCAUUGAUGGAAAAAAAAAAAAGAAUUAGAGAUGGUUUUGUAAAUUCUUUUUCUCCUAACAAGGGGUUUUAUGCACAGAAAAUUAAUGUUACCACUUAUCAUCCAAAAAAAAAAAGGCAACCAAAAAGAGAAUGAAUCCCAAAUGAUUUUGUCAAAACUUUUGUUGUGAAUGGUGGGCAUAGGGAUAUAGAAUUGUGAAAAAAUUUUCAGGUAUUGAAUUUCUUAGUUAUAAAAUUAUUACGUAGAAACUUGACAUUAAUUUCAGAGCCAAAAAGUAAAAAAUAAAAUAAAAAUGCAGAAACUCCCAAAGUUGGAUGAUCAGUUGACCAAAAAAAUCAACUUCUAUUAAAAAUAAAUAAAAUGCACAAUUUCAAUUUUACCAUUUUAGUUGACAUUACAAAAUAGAGAAAUUCUAACACCCUUUUGAAGAAUCACACCUUCAGCAUAAAUUCUCCGUUGGAUGGUGAAAUAAUUAUUUUGGACCCUUAUAUUAUUUUGAAAUAAUUAUUUAAAAUUUUAACAACAAUCGACAUUGAAAAAUAGAAAUUGAGAAAAUAAUUCCUUGAAGAGACCAUAGAAUUUUUCAAUAAACUAUAUAAAUAUGUGUUUGAGUAAUGAUAGUAGGCAAGAUUGAAAAUUGAGCCCGUUUAAUAUGACAUAACAUCUGAAAAUAAUUACUCCAUGGAGAAGGAUCGAUGAACUACUAAUAUAACUACUUCACCUAAAAUUUUUUGCCUCCACCACUGCUAAAGCUUGUAUUGUAAACCCAAUUAUGCCAAUCAAUGAUAUAGCAAAACAAUUGUUCAAAAAAGAAAAAAAAAGAUUCAAUAGCCCUUGAACCAUUCAAAUGUAAAGGUUCCAGAAACUUGUACUGUAAGAUUGAAGAAUGCUCAUAAUCAUAUUGUGCACGAAUAAAUUUUAUACAGUGAUGAUGGGAUUGCUUUAUCCUUUUGCCUCUACUUUUUUUUUUUUUUUUACUCUGGCAAACCGAUCCUGCGACAUUUGUACUUAAUGAUAUUUCAUAUCAGUUUCAAGAAAAAACGUGUUGCUGCAUGUUAUUUCACAUCAUUCCGUAAUUUGGUUUGAGGGAUUCCUCAUUCCAUGAUCCAUCUCCUUCUACACCUUCCUACAGUUGAUGCAUUUAUUGUUGAGUGUUCUCCUAAUAGAUCCCCAACCAAAAAGCAUGUCGCAGUUUUGUGGUUAGAAGUCAUUCUGUCGAUUAGCAUUUUAUUGAUAGAAUGUUUUUAUUUGCCUGUUUGUGAAUCUCUUAUUUUUUUUUAGGCUUUAGCAUAGUGAACUCAAUAUGCUACACACACACAUACACACGUGUGUAAUGUGCAUGUGUGUUGAACUCUCAUUCCAGGUUCUUUUGCUUCUUGAGUUGAUCAAGAUGAUAGAAUUGAUAUAAUGCUUUCUUUUUAACCUAGGUUCGAACCUCACUUGGAAUAUCUGACCGUCACACAGAAUUUGUCUAGUGCGUCUUAUUUUCCCUUAUAUAAAAAAAGGGCUCCAUAAUGGUGUAUCAAGAAUCAAUCCUGUUCAUCUUUCAUAGUGACACUCAAUAUGUACACUCAUGGAUUAAAGAAAUGAAAGAUGAAAGUAAAGGAAACUUGGCACACACUUGAACAGGUACACAUGGCGAUCCCUAAUCGAUCAAUCAUGCUUAUGGCAUCUGAUCAACGAAAUUAAGCAUUAGUAGAAAUGAGAAAGAGAUUACGUACUCAAUUUAACUACAAUUAUUUUGCCUAAAAGAAGGAACCAUCUAGAUAUGGUCAAUCAGUAAUUCGACUUUAAAAGUGUUUUGAUACAAGAAAAAAAAUUUUUUCCCGUUCCUUUUUGGGUUUGAAAAUCCAGGAACAAAACUUGGUGCGUAGGAACAGUGAUCUGCAUUCUAGUAUUUUCCACCUCAAUUUGACUUUUCUGGGUUUGAGGUGUGACAACUAACACUCCAAGUGCUUCUAUUCGUUGCCGUGAGCUACAGCAAUUUGCCCUUUUAGUUGGAGGUGUGACGAUUGGAUGUACCAUUUUGUCCUUAUUGAAUGGCUUCACUUUGACGGACGAAGCAGUAGCACUAAAGCUGGCUAUGAGCAAAGCAACCACCUUGCAACUAAGGAAAGUGCAAUUCCAAGUGCAAGACAAGCAACUCCUCAACCACAUCCGAACUCAGAAGGCAAGUGAUAUUAGAGUAGCUACGCUGGUGGAAGAUAUUGUCCAAUUGAAAGAGUUGUUUCAUAUGUGCUCUUUUGUCUAGUUAAUAGUGAUAAAAAUCAUCUAAACUUUAGGAUUAGCAUAUAUGCCUUAGGCAUCACAAUUGAUGAGGAACUCUUGUUUUCUCAGUGUCAAGCACACUAAUUUGUAAAGUUAACUCGAGUCUUUGCUCGUACUUGUAUAUGUUUUGGAAGUAAUAUAAUCAAAUAUCAUUUCGAAAAAAAAAAAUGGCUUCACUUUCACAAAAAAAAAAAAAAAAAUUAUGGCUACACAGAACCAUCUAUUGCAUCAGAAAUCAGUCACUUGUCACCAUUGGUGCAUUGUCAUUUGGCACACCGUCCAUCAGUGUAACACGUUAGCUACAUCCUUCAGCAAUUUUGUCAAAAACCAUAAGAUGUAAUUCACUUUUAACAUAAAUUAAAUAUAGAAUAAACUUUUAUCAAUUCCAUAUGUAACGUUAAAAACGAUGUACAUAUGAUGAUAUGAACCUUACACUCUUUUUGAUCAAUCUUUGACGUUAACUAUUCAAGACCGAUCAUUCUCACUGAUGACCGUUCCUGCUCCGCGUCUUGAUGGGCAGCAAGUUUCAGUCUCUUGUCAAGGACAUGACUACCCUGUAAUGUUGCACGGCCACAUUCUUCUGAGAAGAGAAAGCAAUCAUAGGACUUCUUGUUUUAGGGUAGCAAUUAGAUGCUUGCAGUAGCUGGUAAACUACUUUGCAAAGAAUAAUUAUGUCAUAGGUGUUUCUUUGCAUCAAUUAGGAUCCAAAAUUGAGUGUCGACCAUCAAUUGGAGUUUGGAAGAUACGGAUCAAUGUUAAUUGUUGUUCCAUUAUGUGCAACCAAGUGGACGACUACUAUAAAAUAAAAUAUAUAUAUUGCGAACGAAUGAGAUUGAUCAUCAAGCUUGUUUGGCCAUGGUAACAUCAUGAUCUCCAAUGCACGCGUGGGACUUAAAAUUUUAAUAUUUCUUAGUGCAUUGCCUUAUUCUCAUAUCAUAAUUGAGAAAGUCGGCACCAUUUUUUUUAAUGGAGAAAAGGCUAAAUUCUUGGAUGUUAUUGCAUUAAUAUUAUAUGAAAUGUGAGCCCUUUUCUUAUCUGAUUCUAAUAUUCAGGACAAAUAUUAUAUGGUAUAUGAUUCGAUUAGACACUUAUAUUAUGGUAACUUGUAUCUUCAUUUUCAAUGAUUAGAGCUGACUAUUACAAAAGCAUAAGAAAAUACUCGUAGUUAUCAUUGUUUCCAUAUUUGUGGCUUCUUUACUGCCAAUUUGAGGGGGCUUUAGAUCCUCUGUUUCCAAAAUAGUCCCUGUCCCUCUGUCCCUUUGUUAUACAACUGUCACGUGUCUCUAGUUUUUUGUUAACCCAAACUCAAAUAAAUCGAUAAUAAUCGGUUUAUAAGUUUUGUUAACCCAAAUUCAAACAAACCGACUAUCUUUAGAAGUUUUGAAUUAUGAAUAGGCAAGGGUUUGAUAUUACAAACCAACAUGAUAGACCAUGAUUAUUCAAGUAUUAGCAGGGUUUUUAGGUGUACUUAAUAAGAGUGGUUGAAAUUUUAUUACUAUUCUCUUAUUUUUAUUGGGCAGAUGAUUUUGGAAUUUGAUUCUCAAAAAAUCAAAAUCACAUUCGAUCAUAUUUCAAACUAUUGUUAGACAGAUAUUACAUUUUAAUUAUGUUGGUACAAUUUUUUAAUCUUGUUUAUUCACCAUUUAUUUUUAUUUUUUUUUCAAUAAUGUCAAUACCGUGCGUAGCACGGGUAUUCAUACUAGAUAUUGGAAUUAUGAAUUGGAAUUUGGUUCUUUGAAUUUGGGUUAACAAAACUUCUAAACCGAUUAUUAUCGGUUUAUUUGAGUUUGGGUUAACAAAAGGCUAGAGACACGUGGCCGUUGUACAACAAAGGGACAGAGGGGACAUGGACUAUUUUGGGGACAGAGGAUCUGAAGCCAUUUGAGGGUGCCUUGGUGAUUAUGUAUGUAGUCAAUCGCAGACAGAAUCCUCUAUCCAUUAUGUCUGUCCACUUUUCUAUCUAAUAGAAAAUUAUGUAGUUCCACUUACUAAUAUUGCUAAUGUGGCACAUAACAUUGGAUGCAUAUUUAGGGAAUGUUUGAUAAAAUGGGUUUCAAAUUCAAUUUUAACAUGUACGACUUACUUUCUGAAUUAACAUGAUCGCAUGUAACUGCAACACUAACAAGUUCAAGGAUUCGUCCUCAAAUGUUUGCCUAAUCUCAUCUGAAUCAUGCAGUGUGGAAUUUCAAAGUAGAAGGCUAUGAGUACAAUUGGGCAUAAACAAACAUCAUUUAUGGAUAUAAUUGAAUUUAAAACCCAUUUACCAAGCACUCCCUAAAUAUGCAUUCAAUGUUAUGUGCUACAUCAGUAGUAUUAGUAAGUGGAACUACAUAGUUUUAUAUUAGACAGGAAAGUGAACAGAUAUAAUAGACAGAGGAUCCCGUCUGAAUCAGUCGACACCUUUCAAAAAUUUGGGUGGGAUGUUUUUAUGUUCCAUAAUGAUUUAAGCUUUUCGAUCUGGUAUAUAAGAUAAGGAAUGUCAAAACUUUUAAUACCUUGUACAUGCAGAAGAAGUCUGCUUAUAUAGAUGUUUUUUUCUUUUUGAAGUUUUCAUAUAGAAAGAAGGUAGGAAUCAGGAGCAGAGAAAAUCAAGUUGGUUUUGAACAAAUAUGUGAUGCUAACACAAAAUAUACCAAUUUUUUCCUCAUGAACCAUUAGAAAUAUAUAUAUAGGGGUUGAAGUGGACAAAAAAUCAUUGUUCUCCACAAAUUGACUGCAUAUAUAGGUUCAAUGUAGCUACCCUCUUCUGGUUGAAUGGCUGCUGGAUACAUUGGCAAAGUCCUCCUUUUCUAUGUGCUUUAUUGUACAAAAGGACUUGGAAUUCUUGAGGGGAUACGAAUCUGUUCCAAAAUCCAAGAAGGUGAGCAGUACUGGUUUUGGGUGCACCCACCAAACCAAUUGGACACAGAAAGGAAAGCAAAGAUUGAACAGGAAAAGUGAGAAUCUUCUUCUUCUUUGACUUGAAAAAUAAUGAUAAUUAAUCACAGCAAAAGGCAUUAUUAUUCACAAAUGCGCCACGAACUUCAGUAAUUGUCACUUGUCAUGCAAAGUCUUUCUUAACAGUAGCCAUCAAUUAUAAGAAAGGCAUUUGUGACCUGACCAAGGAGUUUCUUUAGCGGCAACUAGACAGUGGAAAUGUGUGUUUUCGCCCCUUUUUUGGGAUGUGCCUAAUUUCCAAAUUUAAUUAUUUGAACUGCUAAAAUUUGAUGUCCUUCUUAAACAACAGAGUUGUACUAAUCAUGAUUAUGCACCAGAAUUAAUUAAUUGUCAUAUCAAAGUAACAAAAAUGAGAUGCGAAAACCACAUUAUAUCUAUGGCUAAAAUGAGAUGAGGGACAAUUGCAUAUAAAGACCCCUUUUCCCUGCAUCAUCAUGUUCGUUUUUAUUUCUUUCUGUUUUCUUGUUUGGUCAAAUGGAGGCUGAAGCUGCUUAAUUACAUAAGGUCAUGACUAAGCACAAUCAUUAACCCUAUUAUGAUUCUCGUUAGGCAAGAAUCAAGCCUAAUGUGGCUCAAUUUAGACCACUGUCCCUAGCUACAUAACAUGGUCCCUAUAAAAUAAUAUGUACAUUGUGGUAAAGUAACCAAACAAUACAUGGAUAUUGACCAUUGAGCGACAAGUUUCUUUCAGAAUCAACAUUUCUCAGUGCUUUUUUUUUUUUCUGGGAAGACGUCAGACAUGGGCAAGUUCAAGAAGGUUUGCGUCUUCUGCGGAAGUAAUUCAGGGUACAGAAAGAUAUUCAGCGAUGCAGCUUUUGAUCUUGGAAAAGAAUUGGUUUGUUGCUUCUGUCUCUCUCUCUCUCUCUCUCUCUCCCCCCAUGCUCUUUUCACAUGUGUGUGUGUGUAUAUGUCCUUUUGUUUUUUGUUUCUGCUCUUUUACAAAGAUAUAUGGAUAGAGGAGCUGGCUUUUGAUUAGUCUUUCAACAGUAACUGAUGGAGAUGGUACAAAAUAGGUGCAAAGAAAGGUAGACCUAAUCUACGGAGGAGGGAGCAUUGGUCUGAUGGGAUUGGUUUCCCAAACAGUAUAUGAUGGUGGAUGCAAUGUUCUAGGGUAUACAUGCCAAAUUUACUCAAAUUCAUUUCGAGUUUAAACUUGAAUCAAAUCAAUUGUAUUUGUCAUGGACUAUUUAACUUGUUUGAUACAGCUCGUCAAAUACUAACUCUGCCUUUGUGUCUAUUCUUUCUCCAUAUAUACAUAUAUAUAUAUAAAGAGUGAUUCCAAAGGCUCUCGUUUCGGUAGAGGUAUGUAUGUAUAUCUGAUUUCAUUGCCAUGCCAAGUCUCUCCAACCCUUUCCCACCUCCCUAUAUAUAUAUAUAUAUAUAAUACCUCUAUCUCUUGGGUUUUCUUGGAGAUAAUUGGUAAGCAGUUGAUUAAUGAGGCAUGAUGAGCAGAUAUCAGGCGAGGCAGUUGGAGAAGUGACCAUAGUUUCUGACAUGCAUGAAAGGAAAGCUGAAAUGGCUCGUAGGGCCGAUGCUUUCAUAGCUCUUCCUGGUAUUCAUCUUUCAUCCUCAUCCCACUUCCUGUUAAUGUUUCAUGCUCAUCCCAAUUUUUUUUUUUUUUAAAAUUUCAAUAUUUUUCAAGCCCUUUUCUUUAAGAAAAAAUUAAACGGUUUGCGAUUGAGGGUGUCAUAUCUAAUUCCCUUUUUUCCUAAAUUGAUUGAGAAUUUCGGAAUUCUUUUGUUUGAAUGAGUGAAUUGAUCAAACUUAUUUUUUAACUUAACUAGCUUGGAACAAUUAAAAAGGAAAAAAAAACCUACUUUAUAAGCAUAUACAUAUGCUAUAUAGUAUUAAUAACUUGAUUAAAAAAUUGCUGAUUUUCUGUUUUGGGUGAUACUAAUGAAGGAGGGUACGGAACAAUGGAGGAGCUGCUUGAGAUAAUAUCAUGGUCGCAGCUUGGAAUUCAUGAUAAACCGGUACGCAUGUUUCAUGUUCCAACACUUUGGCAUCAUUCUUGAGGGCCAUUUUGAGCUAAUAUUUCUGCUAAUCUUUCAUCUGAGAUUAAUGAUUUAUUGGACCACAUCACUUUAUAAUCCAACCUACCCUCCAAUGCAUAGAAAAAGUGGAGAAAAUGCAUUUGAUAAACGUAGAAUGCCUCUAUAUAUGGGAAGGAGGAAUAUAGAGUAAUUCCAUUCUAAUAGUGUCAAUUUGCUACUCUUGUCUUUUGGGACUUUUUUAGUGAUUCAUUUUGAUGCUUAUUAUUUACAACUAACAGCUUCUAUAGCCUUUUUUUUUUUUUUUUUUAUAAAAAGAAAGGGAAUAACUUCUAUGACAUUUAAAUUAAUCUUCAUUGCUUCCAACUUCCUUUUAUUAGUAACAAACAAUGAACAAUUUCUCCAAGAGUCCAAAAAAAAAAAAAUCAAAGGUCAAAAUUUUAGUUUAAGAUUCAUAUUUGGCUUUUUUUCUAAUGUUUUGUAGAAUUUUGUAAAUAAUGUUUGCUUGGUGUUGCCGGCUAUAUAAUAUAACUCUAGGGCCUCAUGGAGGAUUAAGGCUUAAAAUGAUGUAACUUGUCAAGUUGAAUGGAUAUUUCAAGUUUUAGCUCCUUAGUUCUUUAACUUAGAGUAAUUUAAAAAGUUUGUAAUGCUUUAGAAAUAGUGCAUCAAUUCUUCAUUCCAACCUGGUUAAUUUCACUUUGCACUCUUCAAUUAUCAAAUUCCCACUUUGAUCUUUGAAUUUCAAAAUUGGACACUUUAGUCUAUUAACUAUAAAAUCCAUUCCACUUAAGUAAGACCUUUGGGGAAGUGGGAUAGAUUUUAUACUUAAGUCAAAAUAUUUUAGGACUAAAGUGAGAUAACUUUUAUAAUUUAGGGACUAAAAUUGGAUAUGUGUUAUAUUUUAAGGACUAAAGUAAAACGGAUUUAAUAGUUUAUGGACUAAAGUAUCUCGUUUCGAAAUUUGAAGAGCGAAUAGAAAUUUGAGUAUAGUUGGAGGGUGUAAAGUAAAAUUGAUUCUUCCAACACUGGGGAACAGUGCAAUCAAGGAUCAAAAUUCGCGCGUUUUAGCAAAGAAACCUCGUACUACGAUUUCGUUUAGUUAAUACUCCCAGCCCAUUUUGAUAGUCUUAAUUUUUUUUUAUACAAUUUAAGAAAAAAUGUUAACUUUGUUGGAACAAUAAAUUUAGGUUGUUAUUUUCUAAAAUACCCUUAUAUUAAAUAAAGUACAACUUUAUAUUAACUAUUUAUGGAAACUUGAAUUGAUGGUUUAUGGAAACUUGAAUUGAUGAUUAAGAAAGAAUUAAUCCUCAUUUUACAUUAUUUCACAUUUUGGCUUGAAAGAACAACAAAGCUGGCUUUUCAUAUAUCAAUAUGUUUUGGAAAAUCUAAAUGUAUUAAAUGGGUAUUAACAAUCUAUAUUAAAUAAGGUAGUUUAUAUUAAUAACAACCUACAUUGAAUAAGGGUAUAUUAGAGAAAUUAAAAAUAACUACAUUUUCAAUUGGAAAGUGGACUACAAUUUGAAACAAACGAAAAAAGGAAAACAUGACUAUCAAAGUGGACGGAGAGAGUACAUGCAUGCUUCUUAAUCAAUUCCUUUUAUUGGUCCAAGUACCUAAAAGCCUAAGGGCUUGUUCCCAACUAAUUCUAAUUCUGUAAAAGUUGAUUUUCUAGAAUUGAUUUUUAAAAAUCAAAUUUAUUUAGAGUAAGUCAUGUGUUCUCAUCUAUAGUUAGAAAAUCUAUUUUUCUAAAAGCAUAGACAUUCUUAAACAAAGUCGUAAAGCUCAUUUUGACAAAAAAGAAGACCAAAUGACACUUAUAAACUGCACAAGUGACUUUUAUGAUAAUUAAAUAAUUUUUUAUAUAAUUAAUUAUUUUCUUAUGAAGAUUAAAAGUUGGGCAAAAAAAAAAAAAGGAGAAUAGGGACAAAUUAAUAAUAUGAAUCUAGAGCUGCGAUUGUGAAUAGGAAGAAAUGGUGAGAGACAUGUGGCAAAAAAAGUUAUAUAGUAAUCUUCAAGUAGAUUAGUAGUUAAGUCAAAAUUUGAAAGAUAUUUUUGUCUAUAUGAAAAAGUAGGCCAGAAUCAACAUCUAAAAGCAACUUACAACAUGCUUCUGAUUUUCAGAUUUUUUGGACUCGAAAAAUCUAAAAUUAGAUUUUUUAAAUCAGUUGAGAACGCAUCAAAAUUGUUUUUUGAAAAUCAAAAACUAAAAUCAAUUGAGAACAUGCCUAAAACUAUAAUAGAAUGAGAAGUCGGUUUCCUUUUUUUUUUUUCUGGAACAGUUUCCAUUAUUGGCCCUAAAUGAUAUUUUAAAAUAACUAGCUUAUUCUUAUUAUUAGUCGACUAUAUAAGGUUGUGUUUAAGUGGUACCAAGAGUAUCCUUUCAAGCAUCUAGUUUGUUUUGUAGAUUUUAUAUCAAAUAUUUUGCUAUAAGAAAAAAGAAAUCUUGAAAUGACGCCAAUCACCGGAAAUAAUUUUUGUUGCAAAUUUGAACAUUUUAUUAAUAUGAAACUAUUUUGGAGAUUAAGAUUAGAAGAAGGAAAAGUUUUCACUUAGUUUCCGUUGAGUUAUUGAGACGUAAAAGUACUAAUUUUUUUUUUAUAUAUGUUUAUAAAUUCAUUUAGUCUUUUUUUCCACAAAUACUAUACAAUGGUAUGGUAUGGUAUGAAUGAAGCCCUAUAUUUAUCUUUUUUAUUUUCUAAUUAUGUUGGUAUUAAUGCUAAUAUUGCUCAUCAUCAUUUAGCUACUGCAUUUAUUUUUUUUCUCUUUGCCAACUAUUUGUAUAGAACUAAUUUCGAGAUUGAACACAGUAUUUUUUCUAAUCUCCCUUUUUAUGUUAAUUCUUUCUGUGACUUCAAAAUGUCAAGCUUAAGACACUUUCCAUACCUAAAUUUCCAGUCAAAUCAAUUGAUUACCCCCCCUCCCCUUUUUGUCUCUUUGAAUUUAAUUAUUGGAUAAAAAUGGGGCAAAGGAAUGUGAAUGACAAUCAAAUUAAGAGUCAUUAUGAGUAACUAAUACACUCUUAUGCAAUUAUUACUCACAACAGUACUUCAUUUAGUCAAGCGAAGGACUGAGUAUUGUUGAAAUAGAAUCUUUUAGACUCUAAAAAAAAAAAAGGGAACCCCCCUUUUUGUUGCUAUAAUUUCAGAAGUUAACUGCUUUUAUGCAGUUCAAGUAGCUGAUUUUUUGUCCAUAGUUUAAAGUUUGGUAACAAUUGGUGUGGUUGGGGGAAGUGAAUAUAAAUAAAAACUCAGGGACCACAUUAUAAUAACUAAAAGUAUGGAGGUCAAAUUUUCAGCUCUAAUGGUGCAAUGUUAAUAUGAGGCUCAAAGUGGAACAACUACUAAAAGACUUUUUUGUUUUUUCUGUAAAAAAAGAAGGGGAUGAAUGCAGUCAUCAAUAAGAUUGUGAUAUAAUUAGGGCCAAAAAGGAAGAGAGAUGAUUUUGCAACCAAUAUUCACAAAAAAUUGGGUUUUAGCCAUGCAUUUCUUUGAAAUAGUUUGUCAUUUAUGGCCCUCGAGAUACACGCAUUAUUGCACUUCACGUCUAGUUUGAUUUGGUCAUUUGCAUCAAUUAUAUGCAUCGAUGGAUUCAGUAUUUUAUCGAUAACUUUUUUACCUCACAUGUAUCAAAUCACUGCAGUAUAUUUUUUGACAAAAUUUUCAAAAAAAUUGCAAUCCGAAUGAGCUCAUAAAUAUUUUAGUAAAACUCCAACACAAUAUUCUCACCAAAAUAACUCACUAUUGCAAAACAUCAACUCUCAAUAUACAUGACACUCCUAGUCUAAUGGUCUUUAGCCCCCCACUCGAACACCUAAUGAAUAUUUUUUGCUAUUAACAUAUCCAAAGAACAAUAUAUUCAGUAAACUAGGUUGGAAAUCUCAUAAUUUACUUUUCAAAUCAUCUAUAAGAUGAUGAGACUCCUUGUUCUACCAUGGAAAGCAGAUAAAUUGCCUUCUACACUCUAUUAAAUUUAUACACCACCAUGCGGUGCAAUGAAAUUAGAUCGAUACAGAAUCUACUUCUGCAUCUAACUCUAAAAUAAAUACAAUAGUUAAAAACUAAAGCGUGUUUAUUAAACACUCGUUAACAAAAAUCAGUAUCAUAAAUAUUUGCAUAUUUUUUAAAGAAUUUUUAGCAAAGGGUGAUUGUUUCACAAAUUGCAUUUACAGGGUCUUCUAUCCUUGAAUCUCUACUAGUAAUAGGCUAAUAGUAAUAGCCCUCUAAAUUGAUCGUAGCCAACCAACUCUUUGGUAGGUAGCUUCUUCCUUAGUAAACAUAUAGCCACGAGUGGUGUAUUGCGAUUUGAGCAAAUUGGCCAAGAUGACAGACCUGCACAGGUCCUUUGUACUAAGAUGAUGUAAGGCCACUCAAUUGACAUUUGUCCAAACUCGAUGGAGAUAGCCUUGAAGGGGACUUCACACCAGUUUUUGAUGUAAUUAUAUACUUGCAACAUAAUCAUGUCCAUCCACUCGAGAUCAUAUCCAGUCCUAUGUAGGACCAUAUUAAAAUUGAAUGUUUGGUGGGAUAGACGAAAUGUUGUGAUUAGUUUUAUCCGGUCUUUUUUGGAUUUGUUUUGUGAGAUUCCGUCCAAUCAUUGUUAGUGUUUAAAUUUUUGACAUAUAAAAACAUCAUAAUGUUAUAUUAAAUAAACGUCAAAUAUUUUGUAUAAGUAUAUCACUUUUAUCUUGAAUAUAAUGAUGUAAAUAAUUAUACACCAAAUAAUAUAAAAAAAAGUACAACAAUUGAAUCGAAUCGUACCAAAUCCCAACCGCACUGCCCCUCUCCCGAUCAUUUGGUUUUUUAGGUAGAUACUGAUGACCCUUUUUUUUUUUUCUUUGGCGGAAUGGAUGCAUUAUUUGUUUUCAAAUAUGACAACUUCUUUCAUGACUAAGGAGCUUUCCUGCGGUUUGCUGAAAAGUAUUUAAACCAAAAUUUCUGCAGUUGAGAUUAUAUAACUUCAAGUGGUCAAAAAUCGAAAUGAACAAAUCUCGAGUUUAAGAUGAUGUUAUAAAUUACAUGAUGAAUGAAUGAAAUGCCUGAAACAGGUUGGCCUCUUAAACAUUGAUGGAUAUUAUGAUUGCUUGCUUGGAUUAUUUGACAAAGGGGUUGAAGAGGGAUUCAUUAGGCACUCAGCUAGACAUAUUGUCAUAUCUGCACAAACUGCUGGAGAGCUUAUAAAGAAGAUGGAGGUACAACCUGCUGUUUUUGUUUAGCCUUUUGUGUUCAAUCAAAGUCAUCAUCCAUUUCUCUAUAACACAGAAAAGACACUGGAAUGAAAGAAAGUGAAACAUUAACUAAUUUAAUGAGAAAGUGGAAUUGGUGUUGUUGUUUUUUGUGGGGGGGGGGGGGGGGGUUGGAAUGUUUUAACUUGGAAGUUAGGAUAUCAGUAGUUAGAAUGGUCCUUCAAACCAAGAAGAUACAUUACUAGUGCAGCAGGGGCCCAAAGUUUGACAAUAGCAUCUUCUUUGCCAAAGCAAAAUGAAGAUUACGUUUUGAUAGAUGUAAACAUCCCAUACAACAAUCAUUAGACCAAAACAUCAUGUUCAAGCUCAGCAACAUUGGAACACUGAGCUUAGUCAUGUCAUACCGUCUAAACUGCAUUGUAUUUCCAAGCAACCUAUCCUGUUCAGGUUCCUCUUUGGUUCAGACCCUUCGUCAUGUACGGCCGCUAGCCUUUACAAAGAGUGGGGGGAGGGACAAAGAAGGAAAGAUAACCUUCAAGUAAUGGAAAAGAAAGAGAACAAAGAAGAACAAACACACAACUCAAGGGGAGGAGGGGCAAAAAGUUUGAUAAGGAAGCAUUCUGGGCAAAGUAGAAUGCUAGAUAUCGUCAUACUCAUAGAUCAUACUGAAACAAAGGUGUCAUCAAAUUGGCGUUUCUGAGCAAAGAUUACUUUGUGCUGACUUACUGCUAAUAUCUUGUGCUUUAUUUGCAUUUGCAGGAAUAUGAACCAUUGCACGACAAAGUUGCACCAAGCCAAAGUUGGGAUGUUAAGGACUGUAAACUUGCAAAGUCGUAGUCAUUUGAAUGCUUUUGCCCAAGAAUGCGUUCAUACUCUAUGUAACUUCCUAUUUGAUAUCUUUUGUAAUGAAAAUCUACAUAAAUAGAAAUGUCAUUUUUUAUAAUCAAGAUAAAGUCAGAAAGCAAUCUUGAGAGGUUUCGGCUGUCAUUCCUAAGCUUGACACCUAUAAAUUGCAUUGGUCCUCCUAAGCUUGACCCCUAUAAAUUGCAUUGGUCCCUCGAGUGGUUUUCAACAAGACGCUUGAAUCAAGUAAAAGAGACCACAAGUAAUUCAAAAAGGAACUGAAAUUUCAAUGUCAGAUAUAAAAAUCCUGCCAUGUGCAAAUGGAGAAGUUUAAAGUACUUUUAACAUUAUCAUCACACUCCUCAUACCAACAUGCACACAUACAGAAUUCAUAUUUCUGCAGAGGAGAGAAAAACAUUUUAUCUUUGCCAUCCACCGUGGAGCAAGUAGAGAUGCUUAUAGAAACUUGUGCUUACACCAACUACCAAUAGGAUGCUUACAGAAACAUGUGCUAACACCAACUAAUACCAGGUCUGGAAAUGCAUAGAUGUUCUUCUGUUUAAAUUAAUGCAGUGAAAUGCAGGGACGCUUUUAGGCUGUUUAGAAAACUAAAAAGAAACUGUUGUUAAUCAAGAAACUUUUCAUUCAAUGGAAAAUACCUGAGUUCAAGUGCGCAAUGCUAUUAGGUUCAGAACUGUCAAUAAAAGAAAUUAUCUUCUAUUCAGGAUCUAUGUUAUUAGGACCAAUUUUGUAAAACCCAAGGAUUUGCGAAAAGUCUUAAGAAAAUAUAAGCAACUCUUUAGAUGAACUUGCAACUACCAACUAUUUAAGACAUAUUUGACUAACCACGCAGUUCAUCGUUAGAUGCAGCCAAUGUUAGAUUAUGAGAGUAGUAAAGCAAACAAAAAAGGAGUUGUGGAUUGAAACAGGUUACAAGAGAAUGACUGCUCUGAAAUAAAUCUAUCUAUCGUACAGAUACAUGAUAAGACCAAGAGACGAUCAAUCAAUACAAUAAUGUACCAUGAAUGAGUAAAAUCAACAGCACCCUGAAAUAAACUCAGUAUACUCUUUCAAUACAAAAUACAAAAGGUGAAACAGGCAAAAGAUUCUAUCCAACCUGUUCAGGAUUCUGCGAU
This 19422-nucleotide long non-coding RNA is filed under the name Coffea arabica (coffee). RNAcentral's name for it is "long non-coding RNA (CARA_LNC000015)". Lineage: Eukaryota; Viridiplantae; Streptophyta; Magnoliopsida; Gentianales; Rubiaceae. The record is from RNAcentral.